UACGAAGGGGGCUAGCGUUGUUCGGAAUUACUGGGCGUAAAGCGCACGUAGGCGGGUUGUUAAGUCAGGGGUGAAAUCCUGGAGCUCAACUCCAGAACUGCCUUUGAUACUGGCAACCUAGAGACUGGAAGAGGUUAGUGGAAUUCCCAGUGUAGAGGUGAAAUUCGUAGAUAUUGGGAAGAACACCAGCGGCGAAGGCGGCUAACUGGUCCAGCACUGACGCUGAGGUGCGAAAGCGUGGGGAGCAAACAGG
RNAcentral lists this ribosomal RNA (253 nucleotides) under uncultured bacterium. RNAcentral describes it as "partial 16S ribosomal RNA". It matches the Rfam family "Bacterial small subunit ribosomal RNA", at positions 524 to 776 of the family's 1533-position model. The record is from RNAcentral.